GAUGAACGCUAGCGGGAGGCUUAACACAUGCAAGUCGAGGGGCAGCAUAAGGUAGCAAUACUUUGAUGGCGACCGGCGUACGGGUGAGUAACGCGUAUGCAACCUACCCUGUACUGGGGGAUAGCCCGGAGAAAUUCGGAUUAAUACCCCAUAAAGAUAUUCAGAGGCAUCUUUGAAUAUUUAAAGUUUCGACGGUACGGGAUGGGCAUGCGUAACAUUAGCUAGUUGGUAGGGUAACGGCCUACCAAGGCGACGAUGUUUAGGGGUCCUGAGAGGGUGAUCCCCCACACUGGUACUGAGACACGGACCAGACUCCUACGGGAGGCAG
This 328-nucleotide ribosomal RNA is filed under the name uncultured Bacteroidota bacterium. RNAcentral's name for it is "bacterial SSU rRNA". It matches the Rfam family "Bacterial small subunit ribosomal RNA", at positions 28 to 351 of the family's 1533-position model. The record is from RNAcentral. Lineage: Bacteria; Pseudomonadati; Bacteroidota.